AUUGAACGCUGGCGGCAGGCCUAACACAUGCAAGUCGAGCGGAUGAAGGGAGCUUGCUCCUGGAUUCAGCGGCGGACGGGGGAGUAAUGCCUAGGAAUCUGCCUGGUAGUGGGGGAUAACGUCCGGAAACGGGCGCUAAUACCGCAUACGUCCUGAGGGAGAAAGUGGGGGAUCUUCGGACCUCACGCUAUCAGAUGAGCCUAGGUCGGAUUAGCUAGUUGGUGGGGUAAAGGCCUACUAAGGCGACGAUCCGUAACUGGUCUGAGAGGAUGAGCAGUCACACUGGAACUGGGCCGCGGUCCAGACUCCUACGGGAGGCAGCAGUGGGGAAUAUUGGACAGUGGGCGAAAGCCUGAUCCAGCCAUGCCGCGUGUGUGAAGAAGGUCUUCGGAUUGUAAAGCACUUUAAGUUGGGAGGAAGGGCAGUAAGUUAAUACCUUGCUGUUGUGACGUUACCAACAGAAUAAGCACCGGCUAACUUCGUG
This 484-nucleotide ribosomal RNA is filed under the name uncultured bacterium. RNAcentral's name for it is "partial 16S ribosomal RNA". It matches the Rfam family "Bacterial small subunit ribosomal RNA", at positions 30 to 507 of the family's 1533-position model. The record is from RNAcentral.